This 253-nucleotide ribosomal RNA is filed under the name uncultured bacterium. Its description in RNAcentral is "partial 16S ribosomal RNA". It matches the Rfam family "Bacterial small subunit ribosomal RNA", at positions 524 to 776 of the family's 1533-position model. The record is from RNAcentral.
UACGUAGGUGGCAAGCGUUGUCCGGAAUUAUUGGGCGUAAAGCGCGCGCAGGUGGUUUCUUAAGUCUGAUGUGAAAGCCCACGGCUCAACCGUGGAGGGUCAUUGGAAACUGGGGAACUUGAGUGCAGGAGAGAAGAGUGGAAUUCCACGUGUAGCGGUGAAAUGCGUAGAUAUCUGGAGGAACACCGGUGGCGAAGGCGGCGUUCUGGACUGCAACUGACACUGAUAAACGAAAGCCAGGGUAGCAAACGGG